GUUUGAUUCUGUUAUGGGUAUUUGGUUUGAUUCUAUUAAAGGCUGGGUCUUUUGGAUUCAUUCUGUUAUAGGUAUUUAAAUAUUUGUGGCAAUGACAUUAUACUUUUGUCCACCACAUUCGUAGAAUGUGGCGUAUUUAAAUUGUGGUUUGUGCAGUUGAUUUUGUGGCCUUAAUUCUUUAAUAAUGGCCAUUGUCUUCACUAAAUUUUCCGAUUUGUUUGCACUAACACCUACCAGUUUCCAAAUUUGUAGCAAUAGAAUAAACACCCAUUGAUUUGAGGCUAUUAAAGGUUGAGUGUUUUGGCUUAAUUCUCUCAUACCUAUUUAAUUAUAAAUUAUCACAAUUGUUCUAAGUUUGUUAUCAAUUGUUAUCUGGAGGCUUUGACUUUAUAGGAGUGGCGAGCGUUGGUCUUCUUCUUAAGAUUGAACUCCAGCUUUUUCUAUGUUUCGGUCUCUCUCUCUCACUGAUCUCUGCUAGGGACUGGAAUGGAUACGCAAGAUACAUCUCCUUCAGUGUUGCUAUUCUUUGACAAGCAAAGAUUUAUAUUUAAUGUUGGAGAGGUGGUCUUUCUUUGCUUUGGAUAGAGCAGUUUGGUUGGUGUUUUCAGUUCUGUUAAGCAAGGGGUGAGUUUCUAGGCUGAAAUUUCAAUUAAUUGUUUUAAGUUUUGUGAAUAGAGCAUAGGAAUUAGCUAAUGGCAUCAAUUGACAAUUGGUUGGUGUUAAUUUGUUGUUGUAAUGAUAGGUUUAGAUGAUUACAAUAUUUGAACAUGUUGGUAAAUCCUUUGAGUGUUUUGGCAAUUGGGUAGUUGAGAUGUUCCCUGCCUAUUUUCAUCGCUUUAUACACAUUUCACGCAAUUUUAAAACCCGCAGCAUCGCGCGGGCACCUUUUGCUA
Non-coding RNA from Prunus mume (Japanese apricot), 893 nucleotides. Lineage: Eukaryota; Viridiplantae; Streptophyta; Magnoliopsida; Rosales; Rosaceae. The record is from RefSeq and is a predicted model, not a curated record.